GGCAGGGGCAGGCAGGCGGCCGGUGACCGGGGGGACCCCCGCGGCCUGCCUGCUUUCACCCUCAUAUCCACCCAACGGAAAGCCGCCACCGCCUUUCUCUACCCGCCGCCUGGGGCGAACAUGCGGCCCGGCAGCCACAAGGUGUCAGCCGCGGGCCGGGCAGGUGAAUCUUUUGCAGGGCUGCUCUAAUAGCACACUUGAUCUCCAAAUGGAUGAUGAUCCCUGCCAUGUGAUACUUCUCAUUCCUGUGGGCAAUCCUUCAGGCUUCUGUUGUCCAGACUGUGAUUCCCUGAGGGGAAGCCACCACACAGGAUCCAGCAGCUCCAGCAAACCUGGGAUGAGUGUGCUGGAGGACUUUGCUAAUGUGAUCCAACAGCUCUUUCUGAAAAUCAAGUGACUGUAUUGUGUACCAGCAUGCAUCAUACAUAAAGUGAAUCGCCUUUUAUUGGUAGGAGAGAGGAAACAGAGUGAUUAACUUAUUCCUGAAGUAUGUGCUUAACUCACAGAUAAAAAUUAAGGUUUUUUUUUUUC
Long non-coding RNA from Pezoporus occidentalis (night parrot), 531 nucleotides. RefSeq lists it as uncharacterized. NCBI's taxonomy places the organism in Eukaryota, Metazoa, Chordata, Aves, Psittaciformes, Psittacidae. The record is from RefSeq and is a predicted model, not a curated record. The transcript is spliced from 2 exons.